GGCUCUGUGGCGCAAUGGAUAGCGCAUUGGACUUCUAGUGACGAAAAAGGCGAUUCAAAGGUUGUGGGUUCGAAUCCCACCAGAGUCG
RNAcentral lists this transfer RNA (88 nucleotides) under Heterocephalus glaber (naked mole-rat). It matches the Rfam family "tRNA". From Rfam's summary of the family: Transfer RNA (tRNA) molecules are approximately 80 nucleotides in length. Lineage: Eukaryota; Metazoa; Chordata; Mammalia; Rodentia; Bathyergidae. The record is from Rfam by way of RNAcentral.